CAAAUACACAACAAGCACAAAGGUUACAAAGAUGGAGUUGACACUAGGAAGAAAACAAAUAUUUCAAGUGCAGUCCUAACCCUGUGCUCAGGAGCAGCACCUGCAGAACAACUUACUGAUUUUUUUUGCUCAUUCACUUUGUGGCAGUGAUGCUGUUCAGGACAAGGACUGAUUUAAAAGAUGUAAGACAUGAUUUUCCUCUGAUUUUGCUUCCUAAAGAGCUUUUUGGGUGAAUGUAUUGAUGUUUAGAUUGUACCGCUGCCGUUGUUUCUAUAUUUGCUCUUCCCUUCUGCUGCUGCUAUUGUUGCACCUCAUUCUUGCUCCUUUUUUUCACACAGGCUACAUGGUGAUUUUUGUAGGUGGAAUAGCAGUUUAUGGUUCAGUCUUCUUUUGCUCUACAUUUGCCUUAUUCCAAUUUUGAGAUUGUUGGGUUUUGUUUUGUUACUUCUGUUGCUUCUCUCACU
Molecule: long non-coding RNA, 464 nt
Organism: Mauremys mutica (yellowpond turtle)
Lineage: Eukaryota; Metazoa; Chordata; Testudines; Geoemydidae
Exons: 3
Source: RefSeq, a predicted model, not a curated record